GACGAACGCUGGCGGCGUGCCUAAUACAUGCAAGUCGAGCGGACUUAACAAGCUUGCUUUUUAAGUUAGCGGCGGACGGGUGAGUAACACGUUGGCAACCUGCCUGUAAGACUGGGAUAACUUCGGGAAACCGGUGCUCAUACCGGAUAAUCCUUUUCUACUCAUGUAGAAAAGCUGCAAGACGGUAUACGCUUUCACUUACAGUUGCGCCCGCCGCGCAUUAGCUAGUUGGUGAGGUAACGGAUGACCAAGGCGACGAUGCGUAGCCGACCUGAGAGGGUCGUCGGCCAGACUGGUAGAGAGGAACGGCCGAGACUCCGACGGUGGGAAGCAGUAGGGAAUCUUCCGGAAGGGACGAGAGUCGGACGGAGCAACGCCGCGUGAGUGAUGAAGGUGUUCGGAUCGGAAAACUCUGUUGUUAGGGAGGAACAAGUACGAGAGUAACUGCUCAGACCUUGACGGUACCUAACCAGAAAGCCACGGCUAACUACGUG
Molecule: ribosomal RNA, 494 nt
Filed under: uncultured bacterium
Lineage: Bacteria
Description: partial 16S ribosomal RNA
Rfam family: Bacterial small subunit ribosomal RNA
Source: RNAcentral